CUGAUUGUUACAUGGUUGGUCCGGUUCAUUUAUUGGUAAAUCCAAUAUCAUUUUUUCAAUGUAACCCCAAUAUGCUAACCUUUGUUCUUUUUGUACUUGUUUUUUCAGAUGUUUGUACUUGUCUGCAUACUUGGUGUUUUGUUUCAUUUUAUAAUAUAAUUUAUUUUUUCUAUUUAUCAUUUUCCUAAGGUUGUUAUGAAUCCAAGGUAGUCUGUUUUUGUAUGUUAGGAACUUGUGUGGGAUGUUGUUUUCCACUGAUUGUGUAAGAUUUGUUUUAAAUGUGUUCCACAUAUCAUUUACAUUUGUUUUGUCCUGUAGGUUUUGUAGAUCAUUGUAUGUUUUUUCUAGAUCUAACUUUAUGUUAUCCCAGUUAGCUUUAUUGUAUUUUAGUAUUUUUCUGGGUUUUUCUCUCACCCUGCGUAACCAGAUGUCAGAUUCUACAUAGACAAUGUCGUGGUCACUAAGGCCUAUUGGUGGUAGUGUACUGACUUUGUUAAUGUUAGAAGGAUUAUUGACGAGUACUAAGUCCAGGAUUCUUUCUUUACGUGUUGGUAUGUUAACUAUUUGGUGUAAAUUAUGAUCAUAAAGAAGUUCUAAAAGUGAAUUAUGUUGUUCUUGAUCUGGUUUCCCUGAUAUUACUUCAGGGACAGACCAGUCA
This 658-nucleotide long non-coding RNA is filed under the name Mytilus galloprovincialis (Mediterranean mussel). The record is from RNAcentral. Lineage: Eukaryota; Metazoa; Mollusca; Bivalvia; Mytilida; Mytilidae.